RNAcentral lists this transfer RNA (71 nucleotides) under Bacteroides coprosuis. RNAcentral describes it as "tRNA-Gln". It matches the Rfam family "tRNA". Rfam says of the family: Transfer RNA (tRNA) molecules are approximately 80 nucleotides in length. Their secondary structure includes four short double-helical elements and three loops (D, anti-codon, and T loops). RNAcentral also lists the same sequence under 1 other name. Lineage: Bacteria; Pseudomonadati; Bacteroidota; Bacteroidia; Bacteroidales; Bacteroidaceae. The record is from RNAcentral.
UGUCCGAUGGUGUAACGGUAGCACAACAGUUUUUGGUACUGUUUGUCGGGGUUCGAAUCCCUGUCGGACAA